Molecule: small nuclear RNA, 110 nt
Organism: Entamoeba histolytica HM-1:IMSS
Lineage: Eukaryota; Evosea; Mastigamoebida; Endamoebidae
Rfam family: U5 spliceosomal RNA
About the family: U5 RNA is a component of both types of known spliceosome. The precise function of this molecule is unknown, though it is known that the 5' loop is required for splice site selection and p220 binding, and that both the 3' stem-loop and the Sm site are important for Sm protein binding and cap methylation.
Source: Rfam
AUCUUCACUACUAACAAAAUCGAUCUUAUCUUUCGCCUUUUACUAAAGAUAACCGUGUUAGUAGAUUUACUGAAGAUGAAGGAAUUUUUGGAGGGUCUAUUCAAGGACCA